RNAcentral lists this transfer RNA (73 nucleotides) under Mus musculus (house mouse). Its description in RNAcentral is "tRNA-Ala". Lineage: Eukaryota; Metazoa; Chordata; Mammalia; Rodentia; Muridae. The record is from RNAcentral.
UUGGGGAUUUAGCUCAGUGGUAGAGCACUUGUCUAGCAAGCACAAGGCCUUGGGUUCGGUCCUCAGCUCCAAA